RNAcentral lists this transfer RNA (74 nucleotides) under Streptomonospora salina. RNAcentral's name for it is "tRNA-Met". It matches the Rfam family "tRNA". Rfam says of the family: Transfer RNA (tRNA) molecules are approximately 80 nucleotides in length. Their secondary structure includes four short double-helical elements and three loops (D, anti-codon, and T loops). Further hydrogen bonds mediate the characteristic L-shaped molecular structure. tRNAs have two regions of fundamental functional importance: the anti-codon, which is responsible for specific mRNA codon recognition, and the 3' end, to which the tRNAs corresponding amino acid is attached (by aminoacyl-tRNA synthetases). tRNAs cope with the degeneracy of the genetic code in two manners: having more than one tRNA (with a specific anti-codon) for a particular amino acid; and 'wobble' base-pairing, i.e. permitting non-standard base-pairing at the 3rd anti-codon position. Lineage: Bacteria; Bacillati; Actinomycetota; Actinomycetes; Streptosporangiales; Nocardiopsidaceae. RNAcentral also lists the same sequence under 4 other names. The record is from RNAcentral.
GGCGGAGUAGCUCAGUUGGCAGAGCAAACGGCUCAUAAUCGUUGUGUCGUCGGUUCGAGUCCGGCCUCCGCUAC